GUACUUCGGUUAUGGAUGGUGGCGGACGGGUGAGUAAUGCGUAAAUAACUUGCCCCCUAGUCUGGGACAACUGUUGGAAACGACAGCUAAUACUAGAUAUUAUGAGACCUUGGCAUCAAGGACUUAUGAAAGCUAUAUGCGCUAGGGGAGAGAUUUGCGUCCUAUUAGCUAGUUGGUGAGGUAAUGGUUCACCAAGGCGACGAUAGGUAGCCGGCCUGAGAGGGUGAACGGCCACAAGGGGACUGAGACACGGCCCUUACUCCUACGGGAGGCAGCAGUGGGGAAUAUUGGACAAUGGACCAAAAGUCUGAUCCAGCAAUUCUGUGUGCUUGAUGAAGGCCUUCGGGUUGUAAAGAGCUUUAAGUAGGGAAGAAGAAAGUGACGGUACCUACAGAAUAAGCGACGGCUAAAUACGUGCCAGCAGCCGCGGUAAUACGUAUGUCGCAAGCGUUAUCCGGAAUUAUUGGGCAUAAAGGGCGUCUAGGCGGUUUAGAAAGUCUGAUGUGAAAAUGCGGGGCUCAACCCCGUAUUGCGUUGGAAACUACUAGACUAGAGUAUUGGAGAGGUAAGCGGAACUACAAGUGUAGAGGUGAAAUUCGUAGAUAUUUGUAGGAAUGCCAAUUGGGAAGCCAGCUUACUGGACAAAUACUGACGCUGAAGCGCGAAAGCUAGGGGAGCAAACAG
This 684-nucleotide ribosomal RNA is filed under the name uncultured bacterium. RNAcentral describes it as "bacterial SSU rRNA". It matches the Rfam family "Bacterial small subunit ribosomal RNA", at positions 75 to 775 of the family's 1533-position model. The record is from RNAcentral.